This 77-nucleotide transfer RNA is filed under the name Pseudomonas sp. Its description in RNAcentral is "tRNA-Ile". It matches the Rfam family "tRNA". From Rfam's summary of the family: Transfer RNA (tRNA) molecules are approximately 80 nucleotides in length. The record is from RNAcentral. RNAcentral also lists the same sequence under 14 other names. Lineage: Bacteria; Pseudomonadati; Pseudomonadota; Gammaproteobacteria; Pseudomonadales; Pseudomonadaceae.
GGGCCUAUAGCUCAGUUGGUCAGAGCAGUCGACUCAUAAUCGAUUGGUCGUAGGUUCAAGUCCUACUGGGCCCACCA